GACGAACGCUGGCGGCGUGCCUAAUACAUGCAAGUUGAGCGCUGAAGGUUGGUACUUGUACCAACUGGAUGAGCAGCGAACGGGUGAGUAACGCGUGGGGAAUCUGCCUUUGAGCGGGGGACAACAUUUGGAAACGAAUGCUAAUACCGCAUAAAAACUUUAAACACAAGUUUUAAGUUUGAAAGAUGCAAUUGCAUCACUCAAAGAUGAUCCCGCGUUGUAUUAGCUAGUUGGUGAGGUAAAGGCUCACCAAGGCGAUGAUACAUAGCCGACCUGAGAGGGUGAUCGGCCACAUUGGGACUGAGACACGGCCCAAACUCCUACGGGAGGCAGCAGUAGGGAAUCUUCGGCAAUGGACGAAAGUCUGACCGAGCAACGCCGCGUGAGUGAAGAAGGUUCUCGGAUCGUAGAACUCUGUUGGUAGAGAAGAACGUUGGUGAGAGUGGAAAGCUCAUAAAGUGACGGUAACUACCCAGAAAGGGACGGCUAACUACGUG
This 497-nucleotide ribosomal RNA is filed under the name uncultured bacterium. RNAcentral's name for it is "partial 16S ribosomal RNA". It matches the Rfam family "Bacterial small subunit ribosomal RNA", at positions 28 to 507 of the family's 1533-position model. The record is from RNAcentral.